Molecule: long non-coding RNA, 847 nt
Organism: Tigriopus californicus
Lineage: Eukaryota; Metazoa; Arthropoda; Copepoda; Harpacticoida; Harpacticidae
Exons: 3
Source: RefSeq, a predicted model, not a curated record
UCUCGCUCAAUGCGGAGGAUUUGACACACCAAAUUCGACCUCGACCGAGUAAUGUUGCAUUCUUCUCAUAGGUCUCGAUCGCUCAGACUUUGUGCUAAAAGAUGAAGCUCGUUUAAUUCAAUUUCUGAUUCAACAACUGAAUAAUGAAUGACCACUGCCAUAUUGUGAGAUUGAAUUUAGAUGGGGAUAAAAGGUCCUUUUGAUGCAAUUACCUUGUUGAUGAUGGCCGUGGAAAGCAAGUCUUCAUAGGAUUGAGAGUAGUACAUCUCUUUGUCAUUGGGUAGAUCACGAAUCAAGAAGUCGGAUUCAUUUUCCUACGGACAAACAAACUCGUAUUACACCAAUCCAAUAAUCGAGUUCUCACCCAAAACGUAUCUCACCCAAAUCAGCUCGUUUUCAUCCACGUCCAUAAUGAGGCGCUCGAUCCAAAACUUUAAUUUUAUAUGGGCUGUGGUGGGCGUGGGGUCUUCGGCUUUCACUGGCAUUUCAACAUGACAACUCAUCUCCCGGGAAAAAUGCUGAGAAGAGAGAGGGGAAAACGCCAUAAAUCUUGGAGCAUGGCGAGAGGAAAGAAGAGGCCAAAAAAAUACCGAUUUCAAGUGACUCUCUUCUUCGGAGGAGGAAGGUAAAGCAUGUCUUUAGGGCUGCCAUAAAUUUGGGUGUCUUCUUCGUUUUCCAAUGAGGAUGUCGCAACCAUACCAAAGGCUCGCUCAAGCGUGGUUUCGAAUUGUCCUACUUACUUUCAAUCACCAUUUGAAUGGCUUGAGUUAGCAAUGAUAAGGAAUCACUCAACGACGAAUGGUAAUCCUCAAAUAGGCGUUUAUCUGAAACAAAGCACAAAAACCGA